UGCAUCGGCCGGGAAUCGAACCCAGGCAGGCGAGCAUUCUACCACUGAACCACCGAUGG
RNAcentral lists this transfer RNA (59 nucleotides) under Cordylochernes scorpioides. Its description in RNAcentral is "tRNA-OTHER". Lineage: Eukaryota; Metazoa; Arthropoda; Arachnida; Pseudoscorpiones; Chernetidae. The record is from RNAcentral.